AAGUCUAAGCCUCAGCCUAAGCCUAAGCCUAAACCUGAACCUAGGCCUUAGCCUAAGCCUAAGCCUAAGCA
Molecule: non-coding RNA, 71 nt
Organism: Caenorhabditis elegans
Lineage: Eukaryota; Metazoa; Nematoda; Chromadorea; Rhabditida; Rhabditidae
Source: Ensembl